GCCUGGCACAGUUGAGGCCUCGUGUGGGCCCAGAAGGAAGGGGGCCCAGGCACAGGUAGAGCCUCGGGGCCCAGGAUGGAGGAGAACCAGGCUCAGUUGGGGCUGUGUUGGGGCCCAGGAUGGAGGAGGACCAGGCACAGUUGGGGCUGCUUUGGGGCCCGGGCUGGUGGGAGGCCCGGCACAGCCAGAGCCUUGUGGCUGCACUCCCUCUGUACAGUUCAACCUUGAUCCCUAACCUAAAAUGGUAACUGUAGUGAAAGGCAGUAGCUGAUCCAGCUGCUUUCCUGUGUUUUAAUUUUCCUAAGAAUGGGGAAGGACUCAAGCUAGUAAACAAAGACCCCUUUCUGAAGAACAGGACUCAGAAAGUAUUAGCACAGAGCAGAUCUCCCCUUAGUAGGAGAGAAGUAGAGAUUCUUCCCCUUAGACAGGCAGCCCUUAAAUGAGGGUGGGGAGGGCUGGAGCCAGGCUCCACCCCUUUUUGCCCAGGUGAAAUGCUUGCAGGUGUGCUCC
RNAcentral lists this long non-coding RNA (510 nucleotides) under Gallus gallus (chicken). RNAcentral describes it as "lncRNA (ENSGALG00010029954.1)". Lineage: Eukaryota; Metazoa; Chordata; Aves; Galliformes; Phasianidae. The record is from RNAcentral.